GGAGAGGUGUCUGAGUGGCCGAAAGAGCACGCCUGGAAAGUGUGUGUACCUCACGGUACCGAGGGUUCGAAUCCCUCCCUCUCCGCCA
Molecule: transfer RNA, 88 nt
Filed under: gamma proteobacterium IMCC1989
Lineage: Bacteria; Pseudomonadati; Pseudomonadota; Gammaproteobacteria; Alteromonadales
Also listed under: 3 other names
Description: tRNA-Gly
Rfam family: tRNA
About the family: Transfer RNA (tRNA) molecules are approximately 80 nucleotides in length. Their secondary structure includes four short double-helical elements and three loops (D, anti-codon, and T loops).
Source: RNAcentral